AGUAAUACAUCGGAACGUGUCUUCUAGUGGGGGAUAACUGCCCGAAAGGGCAGCUAAUACCGCAUGAGACCUGAGGGUGGAAAGCGGGGGAUCGCAAGACCUCGCGCUGGAAGAGCGGCCGAUGUCCGAUUAGCUAGUUGGUGAGGUAAAGGCUCACCAAGGCGACGAUCGGUAGCUGGUCUGAGAGGACGACCAGCCACACUAGGACUGAGACACGGCCCAG
This 223-nucleotide ribosomal RNA is filed under the name uncultured bacterium. RNAcentral's name for it is "partial 16S ribosomal RNA". It matches the Rfam family "Bacterial small subunit ribosomal RNA", at positions 109 to 334 of the family's 1533-position model. The record is from RNAcentral.